This 324-nucleotide ribosomal RNA is filed under the name uncultured eukaryote. RNAcentral's name for it is "partial 18S ribosomal RNA". It matches the Rfam family "Eukaryotic small subunit ribosomal RNA", at positions 1470 to 1796 of the family's 1831-position model. The record is from RNAcentral.
CCCUUAGAUGUUCUGGGCCGCACGCGCGCUACACUGAUGCAUUCAACGAGUUUCUUCCUGGUCCGAGAGGAAUGGGUAACCUUUUGAAAGUGCAUCGUGAUAGGGAUAGACUAUUGCAAUUAUUGGUCUUCAACGAGGAAUUCCUAGUAGACGUAGUUCAUCAGACUGCAUCGAUUACGCCCCUGCCCUUUGUACACACCGCCCGUCGCUCCUACCGAUUGAAUGCUCAGGUGAGCCAUUCGGACUUUCAUCAUGCUGGUUUCCAGUUUUGAUGAAGGAAAGUCUUGCGAACCUUAUCAUUUAGAGGAAGGAGAAGUCGUAACA